Non-coding RNA from Pelobates cultripes (western spadefoot toad), 161 nucleotides. Lineage: Eukaryota; Metazoa; Chordata; Amphibia; Anura; Pelobatidae. The record is from the annotation of a GenBank genome assembly.
AGAGAGAGGGAGGGUGUGACUAGUGACAGAGUGAGGGAGGGAUGGGGUGACUAGUGAGAGUGAGGGAGGUGGUGAUUAGUGACAGAGGGAGGAAUGGGGUGACUAUCACUGUGUCACCCCCUUCCUCACUCUGUCACUAGUCACCCACUCCCUCCCUCACU